GCUGGAGUAGCUCAGUUGGUAGAGCAACGGUUUCGUAAACCGUAGGUCGUGGGUCCGACUCCCAUCUCCAGCU
Molecule: transfer RNA, 73 nt
Filed under: Ignavibacteria bacterium
Lineage: Bacteria; Pseudomonadati; Ignavibacteriota; Ignavibacteria
Description: tRNA-Thr
Rfam family: tRNA
About the family: Transfer RNA (tRNA) molecules are approximately 80 nucleotides in length. Their secondary structure includes four short double-helical elements and three loops (D, anti-codon, and T loops). Further hydrogen bonds mediate the characteristic L-shaped molecular structure. tRNAs have two regions of fundamental functional importance: the anti-codon, which is responsible for specific mRNA codon recognition, and the 3' end, to which the tRNAs corresponding amino acid is attached (by aminoacyl-tRNA synthetases). tRNAs cope with the degeneracy of the genetic code in two manners: having more than one tRNA (with a specific anti-codon) for a particular amino acid; and 'wobble' base-pairing, i.e. permitting non-standard base-pairing at the 3rd anti-codon position.
Source: RNAcentral